RNAcentral lists this ribosomal RNA (164 nucleotides) under Aconitum jaluense. RNAcentral's name for it is "5.8S rRNA". It matches the Rfam family "5.8S ribosomal RNA". From Rfam's summary of the family: 5.8S ribosomal RNA (5.8S rRNA) is a component of the large subunit of the eukaryotic ribosome. It is transcribed by RNA polymerase I as part of the 45S precursor that also contains 18S and 28S rRNA. The record is from RNAcentral. Lineage: Eukaryota; Viridiplantae; Streptophyta; Magnoliopsida; Ranunculales; Ranunculaceae.
CAAACGACUCUCGGCAACGGAUAUCUCGGCUCUUGCAUCGAUGAAGAACGUAGCGAAAUGCGAUACUUGGUGUGAAUUGCAGAAUCCCGUGAACCAUCGAGUCUUUGAACGCAAGUUGCGCCCGAAGCCAUUAGGUCGAGGGCACGUCUGCCUGGGCGUCACAC